Non-coding RNA from Rattus norvegicus (Norway rat), 682 nucleotides. NCBI's taxonomy places the organism in Eukaryota, Metazoa, Chordata, Mammalia, Rodentia, Muridae. The record is from RefSeq and is a predicted model, not a curated record.
AUUUGAGAACAACUGGAGCAAAAGGUAUCAUUCUGAUGUCCCUCCUAGAGGAAGUUUUGAAUGUGAGACACAGUUAAGUGUUAAUUUUGUGACAUCUUUCAUCAAAAGUAGCAUGGUUCAGAAUCAUUCUUUGUCAAAUAGGUUAGCUGCUGAGGACCUUUUUGAGUGGAAGUGGAGUUUGAGACCUGGGUGCCAGAGAUGACUUCAGGAAUUGUAAUUGAUGGAAAAAGGAAGAUCUUGACGCCUUUAAGAAAGAGAAAACUUUGAGAUCUGAUUGUGCAAAGAAAAUUUUCAUCAAAGGAGCAAGAAAUUCUUCAUAACUUCAACACAACAUGGCCUUUGGGAACAGAAUAAAACACAAAUAAGGAAAGGCGGAAAAUGAUUGACACAUGCACUGUUCUUGGUUUGAAAUUUAACAAUCAUGCUAGUUAUAGGAUACAGCUUUGAAAUUCGAGUCAAUGAGAGGAUGAAAAAUACUGAGGAAGAGUAGGUAAAUUGAAUUCUUGCUACAUGAACAAAAACACUGGAUCUGAAGGUAAGGUACAUUUUAUAUAAUGACCCUCGUCUUCUGACACUAUUUAUUCAAUGCUUUGGUAUUUGUUCGUAUAUUAUGUUCCAAAAACAUAUCAAUGAUUCUGGUUAUUCUUAAUUAAUGAACAUGCAUUUCAGCUGAUUUAAUAUU